RNAcentral lists this ribosomal RNA (519 nucleotides) under uncultured eukaryote. Its description in RNAcentral is "SSU rRNA". It matches the Rfam family "Eukaryotic small subunit ribosomal RNA", at positions 1161 to 1695 of the family's 1831-position model. The record is from RNAcentral.
AGGGCACCACCAGGAGUGGAGCCUGCGGCUUAAUUUGACUCAACACGGGAAACCUCACCCGGCCCGGACACGGACAGGAUUGACAGAUCGAUAGCUCUUUCUCGAUUCCGUGGGUGGUGGUGCAUGGCCGUUCUUAGUUGGUGGAGCGAUUUGUCUGGUUAAUUCCGAUAACGAACGAGACUCUGGCAUGCUAACUAGUUACGCGACCCCCCGAGCGGUCGGCGUCCCCCAACUUCUUAGAGGGACAAGUGGCGUUCAGCCACCCGAGAUUGAGCAAUAACAGGUCUGUGAUGCCCUUAGAUGUCCGGGGCUGCACGCGCGCUACACUGACUGGCUCAGCGUGUGCCUACCCUACGCCGGCAGGCGCGGGUAACCCGUUGAACCCCAUUCGUGAUGGGGAUCGGGGAUUGCAAUUAUUCCCCAUGAACGAGGAAUUCCCGGUAGGUGCGGGUCAUAAGCUUGCGUUGAUUAAGUCCCUGCCCUUUGUACACACCGCCCGUCGCUACUACCGAUUGGAUG